RNAcentral lists this long non-coding RNA (7116 nucleotides) under Triticum aestivum (bread wheat). Its description in RNAcentral is "long non-coding RNA (TAES_LNC007640)". The record is from RNAcentral. Lineage: Eukaryota; Viridiplantae; Streptophyta; Magnoliopsida; Poales; Poaceae.
CACGCCCCCCGCGCCUCGCCAAUCCGGCGGCCAAGAGCCCAAGACUGCCAAGCACGGACCUCCUAUAAAGAAAGAAGAACGGACCGGAGGAGGAGCCACCCCCGAACCCCGGUGACAGUGAUCCCCAGACCUCCCGCUCGGCUCCGCUCCGAACCACGACCUUUCGCCAACAUGGCCCGCCUCGGCCUCCGGCGAUUUCUGCCGCCGAUGCUCCUCCUCGUCCUCUUCGUCGCGGUGGAGGCGGCGGGGAAGGGCGACGGCGGGCUGCGGUUUCGGCGGGAGAACGGCACGUUCAAGGUGCUGCAGGUGGCGGACAUGCACUACGCGGACGGGCGGAGCACACAGUGCAGGGACGUGCUGCCCGCGCAGCGCCCCGCCUGCUCCGACCUCAACACCACCGCCUUCCUCUACCGCCUCCUCCGCGCCGAGGACCCCGACCUCGUCGUCUUCACCGGUACGCCACGCCAGUCCACCCACCUACCCACCACUCCAGUAAUCGACUCGAUGCCACUGCUAGCGUCCUCUCAGUUUUGCAUUCAGCAACUUUAGAAACGGUUUACUACUGUACUAAUGUUAGAGAAGAUUGGUUCAAAAUGCAUUUGGUUGUGCUAUACUGCUAGAAAAGUUUGGUUGAAAAUGCAUUUGCACUGAUGAUAAUUGUUGCCACCCCCAAUGCAUUUGGUGUAAUGAUGAUUCAUAUAGGUAAUUUUAUUGCCACAAUGUUUAUUUUUCUGCGAAAAAGGGGAGACCCGGCCUCUGCAUCUUCAUAGCAGGAGUUUGGACACAAUGUUGCAAAAACUAAAAAGUCUUAAAAGAGUGUGGUGUCCAACCAAAAACAAAUACGCCUACAUGAUCCACAAUGUUUCUUGGGCAGGUGAUAACAUUUUUGGCGAGGAUUCAACCGAUGCGGCCAAGUCGAUGGAUGCGGCGAUCGCUCCGGCCAUUGCCAUGAAACUUCCCUGGGCUGCUGUGCUCGGCAACCAUGACCAAGAGGGUACGCUGUCGCGCGAGGGCGUGAUGCGCCACCUUGUAGGCAUGAAGAACACCCUUGCACGCUUCAAUCCACAAGGAGUAGAAAUCGAUGGCUACGGAAACUAUAAUCUGGAGGUUGCAGGGGUUAAAGGAACACUGCUGGCUAACAAAUCAGUGCUCAACCUGUAUUUUCUUGACAGUGGUGACUAUUCUACUGUGCCAUCGAUUCACGGCUAUGGCUGGAUCAAGGCUUCACAGGAAGCUUGGUUCAAGCAAACCUCUUCGAGUCUCCAGGUGAAUUUGUCACCAUCUUGGUGCACUCUGCAAUUUUUUAUCAAUAAUUAUUCUGUCGACGCAAGGCAAGAAAUUUAUGCAAAUUCAAAAUAGAUGAUAGGUCUGUUAGCAGGCACUGUAUUCAGUUCCGAAUACAAUUGGUCUCAAAAUGUUUUGCACGUUAAAUAUAGAGAGAUAAAAGAAGCUGAUGGAAUGGAAGUAGUUCAAGUACCGCAAGCUAAUUUUGUUGGUGCUAUGUACAUAUUUUAUGUUAGAAACUAGAAUAACAAAAGUUCAUAUGAAAUGCAGCAAAACUAUACGGGUGGACAACCCAGACAGAAGGAGCCAGCACCUGGUCUUGCUUACUUCCACAUUCCCUUGCCGGAGUUCAACAACUUCACGGCAUCAAAUUUCACAGGAGUAAAGCAGGAGAAUGGUAUCAGCUCGGCGUUGAUCAACUCCGGCUUCUUUAACACCAUGGUGGAAGCUGGAGAUGUGAAGGCUGCCUUUGUAGGACAUGAUCACUUAAACGACUUCUGUGGUAAGCUCGCUGGUAUUCAGCUGUGCUAUGCUGGUGGCUUCGGUUACCAUGCGUAUGGGAUGGCCGGGUGGUCAAGGAGAGCAAGGGUGGUGUCUGUGCAACUUGAGAAGGCAGCGAGCGGCGAGUGGCAAGGCGUGAAGUCUAUCAACACAUGGAAGAGGCUUGAUGAUCAACAUCUCACCACAAUUGACUCUGAGGUGUUAUGGAACAGAAGCUCUAAUAGUUGAGGUACUCAACUAUGCAUGAGCAUGGCGCUGCUAUUUCUAGCUUGCAUAAUGAACAUAUAUUUUCGGAACCCACAACUUAUCUAAGACUUGCAGGUUGACAGGGAGGCGCCAGAAGAACAAUGAUGGAAGCGGAUCUUGUCUGUUGUUGAUGCGCAGCUUAUCUUGAAGAGUUUGUAACUACGUGAAUGAACACACACCGCAUGCCGCAUGUAUACGCAAAGUUUUCACCAUUAUUAUUUUUCAUGUCAAGAAAAAAAAUUGGACCAUGAAUGGAUCUAAUGUAACGCAGUAAAGAUGACACUCUUUGCAAUUGAGCUCAUAUGUCAAAUGGAAAUGAGAAUACCAAUGCCAAUGCAGCCUUUAUUUUUUUCUCAUAAGUUUAUUACUUGCAAGGUGUUUUGAACUGUAGAGUAGAAGCAAGAUAAUCCACAAAUUAUUUGUGUCAUGUUGCAUGAGACUUGUUACAGAUGCUGCGACGAUGUUAGGUAUAUACAAGAUUUUACUCCUCUUUCUACCUAGCCUACCCCUUCACAUUUAACGCGAAUAUGCAAUGAUCAACACCUCCCCCCACGCCCUAUGUGGGCGUGGAUAAAUGAUUGAGGUAAAUACAGGAACUGAGACUUGAACCCAAGACCUCAACUCUGAUACCAUGUUAAGAUAUGCUCCCUCCUUUCCAAAACAUUUGUCGUGAUUUUAGUUCAAAUUUGAACUAAAACCACAACAAAUAGUAUUUUGGAAGUGGGGGAGUUCCUAUCAACCUAGUUGAUAGGCACUCCCUCCAUUCCAAAACCUGGGAAGCUCUCGGGUUUUUCUUUCAAUGAGCAAAGCAGAAUAUCCAGGGUGCUGCUAGUAAGGAUUCUAAUAGCCAACAUUUUGGCAAAGAGGGUCGUCCUCAUGACCCUACAUGCCAGCAUUGCCUUUGCGCCCUCGAGACCCCUACUCACUUAGCAGAUAUUGCCCCUUCACCACUGCGAUGGGCAUGGGGUCACUUCCACUCAGCAUGUCUUGAAUUUCCCGUCUAUUGAUGCCUAGUGUGAUGCAUUCCUCACCGAGGCAGCGAAGAAUGAGACGUGUCGGCUAAGCGAUCGCUUCCUCUAUGUGAUUUGGAACGUAUGAAAAGAGAGGGACCAAAGGAUCUUCAGCGCGAGUUCGCUUUCGGAACGCANNNNNNNNNNNNNNNNNNNNNNNNNNNNNNNNNNNNNNNNNNNNNNNNNNNNNNNNNNNNNNNNNNNNNNNNNNNNNNNNNNNNNNNNNNNNNNNNNNNNNNNNNNNNNNNNNNNNNNNNNNNNNNNNNNNNNNNNNNNNNNNNNNNNNNNNNNNNNNNNNNNNNNNNNNNNNNNNNNNNNNNNNNNNNNNNNNNNNNNNNNNNNNNNNNNNNNNNNNNNNNNNNNNNNNNNNNNNNNNNNNNNNNNNNNNNNNNNNNNNNNNNNNNNNNNNNNNNNNNNNNNNNNNNNNNNNNNNNNNNNNNNNNNNNNNNNNNNNNNNNNNNNNNNNNNNNNNNNNNNNNNNNNNNNACUGCGCAUGGGCAGGGCCUUUCCGUGAUUCUCACAUAGAGGGUGUUUGUUUCCAGGGACUUUUUGGUGUAGGGACUAAAAAAAGUCAUCUUAGAGACUUUUUAACCAAACAUGAGGGAGUACUAGGGACUAAAAGUUGCUUUUUGGGACUAAAUGAAGAAGACUCUCAAGGAGAGACUUUUUUGGGACUUUUCCAACAAUGCCCCUCCCUGUACCCAUUGCCCCGCUGCUCCAUGGUGUUGUUUGGUUGUUAUUUUUCUGUAUACUAGGGGUAACAUGGUCAUUUAAUAAUCUCUAGGGAGGGACUAGGGACUUUUUAGUCCCUGAAAACAAACAUGGAGGAACUUUUUAGGGACUAGGAACUUUUCAGUUGGGACUAGAAAAAGUCCUAGUACUUAUGAACCAAAUAGGGCUAUAGUUCCUUUCUCUGUUUUGGCUUUUCGGGAUUUGGAGCAUUCCCCUAAAAAACAUGGUGCCUCUUGUAAAUACAUGUGCAUCUCUUCUAUCUAGAUGCAAAGGUAGCGCGUUGCUCGAAAAAAUAAUUAAAAAUGGUCGUGGCUAGCUCUCAUCUACCCCUUGUCGGUUCUAUAUCCGGCAUAUCUCAUAGUAGGGGUCCUAAGGUAGGCGUCUUGGAGCGAUGAUAACACGGACACAGGGUUUUUACCCAGGUACGGGCUCUCUCAAAGAUAUAAUACCCUACAUCCUGCUUUUGAUUGUAUUCAUAUGGGGGAUAGUACAUAGUACAUGCAUCUACCACGUGAUUGUUUUAAUGAAUAUUAGAUGUUCUAUUGACUAGCCUGGCCUCAGUUUAUAUACACACCGGAGGCCUAGGGUUUUAGGAGAGUCCUUGGCUUGAGCGCCAAGUCUUGUGGACUCUACUUCGUAUGCGGUAUGGGCUGCCUAAAGUGGUGCCCCAUUAGUGAACCGCCAUGGGGUCCUCGGCCCGACCCAUAGGUCAGGAGACGAUGUGCUGAGUACCCCCUAGUCCAGGACACCGUCACCCCCUCCCUUCACAAGUAUAAGAUAUUUUAAAUAUUUUAAUAUAAACUGCAUACGAACUGGAAUAAGCGAAACAAGCACACUAAAAUGUGCCUCAUCCAAUUUAGAGACAAAAAUAGAAUAUUUAUAUUGGUGAACAGAGGUAGUAGAUGAGAAAUAAUUGUGUCUCAUCUAACUCCUACCAUAUAACUCACGGAUAGACCAACCAAGACGCCAGCAGCCGCCUCCUUCUCCUUCAAGAAAGAAAGUUAGGGUCCGUGCCUCUCGCCGGCGUCGGCACAUGUCCGUCUCGUCUCUGGUGGCCGUAGGGCCAUGGAGGCGCGGUGGAUCCUGACAAGGUCCGGCGGGAGGGCUCCGUUUUGAGUCGUUUUUUCAAUGUUGUUAGGGUUUGUGUCCUUCUCAAAAAGGCAAGGUGAUGGCGGCUCCCUGAAGAUGGAAUAAAGGUAUCCCAGUCUAGCCCCCGUUUUGGGGUGCAUCUAGAAUCGUUGGUGGGCAUGUGAAGGUGUGUCUCCAGCAGAUCUAUCUUUGGUGGAUUUGUUCGGAUCUCGUCGUUGUUCGUCUACGUUCGUGUGUCUCCGGUUUUGAUCCUUCCGAUCUACAUUAUUAUUCAUCGGCGGCGGUUACUGUUCUGGGGUGCUAAUCCUAUAUAUGGGGUCUUAGCACGGCGACAUCCCGACUGUCUACUACAACAAGUUGUGCCCGACUCCAGCGAUGGAAAGGCGAUGACGGCGGCGCGUCUUCGGCUCGCUUCAGUACUUGUAGUCGUCGCUAGGUGGUCUACGGAUCUGGAUAUAAUUUGUAUUUCUGGUGUUCGUUGUACUGUUAUGAUUGAAGAAGAAUAGAUUGAAAGUUUGCCAAAAAAAACAACAUAGGACUUAGACAAGACUUCAUUAAGAGGGUGUUUGUUUCCAGGGAUUUAUUGGUUUAGGGACUUAAAAAAGUCCCUAUAAGUUCCACCUAAACCAAACACAAGGGACUUAUUGGGACUUAUUAUGGUGAUUUGAGACUUAUCAAAUAAGACUCUCAGGGAGGAGUUUAUUGGGACUUAUUCCGGGCCGGACCUACCCCGCAUCGCUCCAGGCUCGUUCCCCGCACGACGCCUGCCUCUUGGUCCAAUCGCCGCCGCCGCCCCGCCUCUCGCCCCGUCGCCGCCCCGCCUCUCGCCCCGUCGGCCUCGGUUCGCCGCCCCAUCGCCGCCCCGCCUCGGUUCGCUCUGCUUCGGUUUGUUGCAGUGGUGCCUCCAAUCGCUGGACAUGCCCUCUCCUGAGCCUCGUUGCAGCGGUGCAACAUGGACUUAUAAGUCCCUAUAAACAAACAGGUAGGGACUCGGGACUUAUAAGUCCCUGUAAACAACCAGGUAAGGACUUAUGACUUAUAAAUUGGGACUUAAAAAAGUCCUAGGACUUAUUAAACAAACAAGGCCUAAUUCUGAAUUGGCAAAUCCGAUUCAAAAUAGAAGCCGGGGCAAGACGAAUAUGCGACGGCAGGAUGGAAUAAGCUGCGCAUUUCAGACGCGGAGUUUUGGCUCCCGGGCUCAUCUGUACCCAUGCUUAGAAAAAAAUUCAAAACAAAUACUAAAAAAAUUCAAAAAAAUUCAAUUUUUUUGUGGUGGUAGAUAAUUUGAUGGGUGAGGUGCGCCCCAAAAAUCAACUCAUUUGAGCAACUAAGCAGCUCUCGGCAAAAAAGACAAAAUCAGGGUCUGUAAAAAUGUGUACCGUUCACGCACUGUUUUGACCCGAUUUGUCUUUUUUGUCGAGAGCUGCUCAGAUGUUCAAAUGAGUUGAAUUUUGAGGUGCACCUUACGCGUCAAAUUAUCUACCACCAUAAAAAGAUUUGGAAUUUUUUGAAUUUUCUCAGUAUUUUUUUUAAAUUUUUUUACUGAGCGGGAGCAGAGGAGCCCGGGCUCCACGAUGAAUUAUCGGCGCAUUUCUUUCUUCCUUUCGUGCACCCCCCGCUCCCUCUCCGUCUGCCCCGGCGCGCACCGCAGCCAACGGACUCCAUCCCUGUACGUACGGCAUCCCAGCUGAACUGUGGGUAUCCAUCCCUACCCCCCGCACACCGCACAAUAAAAAACUCGCCGGCGUCGGCGUCGGCGUCGGCGGGCUCACGUCAAACCGCCCUCAAUCUCACCGUGCGCUCGCCGCCAAACGCGAACUGCCAGGCGCCUGGCCACGUUGGCCAGAUCCUCCUAUAAAGAACAGAAAUCCACCGCAACCACAAAUCGCUACUUUCGCCAGCAAACAGUGAUCCCCCGGUUAUAUUUCCCACGCCGCGCCGCUCUAGCCAGCUGCACCCUCGGCCGGCAUGGCCCGCCUCGCUCUCCGGCGCUUUCCGCCGCCGAUGCUUCUCCUUCUCCUCGCCCUCUUCCUCGUCGCGGCGGCGGCGGCAGGGAAGGGAAAGAAGAGGGGCGGCGGCGGGCUGCGGUUCCGGCGGGAGGGCGGCACGUUCAAGGUGCUGCAGGUGGCGGACAUGCACUACGCGGACGGGCGGAGCACCGCGUGCGAGGACGUGCUGCCCGAGCAGGUCGCCGGCUGCUCCGACCUCAACACCACCGCCUUCCUCUACCGCGUCAUCCGCGCCGAGGACCCAG